CCUACGGGUGGCAGCAGUGGGGAAUAUUGCACAAUGGGGGAAACCCUGAUGCAGCAACGCCGCGUGAAGGAAGACGGUUUUCGGAUUGUAAACUUCUGUUCUUAGUGAAGAAUAAUGACGGUAGCUAAGGAGCAAGCCACGGCUAACUACGUGCCAGCAGCCGCGGUAAUACGUAGGUGGCAAGCGUUGUCCGGAAUUACUGGGUGUAAAGGGAGCGCAGGCGGGAAGCCAAGUCAGCUGUGAAAACUACGGGCUUAACUUGUAGACUGCAGUUGAAACUGGUUUUCUUGAGUGAAGUAGAGGUUGGCGGAAUUCCGAGUGUAGCGGUGAAAUGCGUAGAUAUUCGGAGGAACCCCGAUUGCGAAGGCAGCUUACUAAACUGUGACUGACAUUGAUGCUCGAAAGUGUGGGUAUCAAACAGGAUUAGAUACCCCAGUAGUC
Molecule: ribosomal RNA, 441 nt
Filed under: uncultured bacterium
Lineage: Bacteria
Description: partial 16S ribosomal RNA
Rfam family: Bacterial small subunit ribosomal RNA
Source: RNAcentral